ACCAAACAUGUGAAUGAUGAUGUCUCACCAAGGAAGAGUUAUUGGACUGUUGUUAGUGAAACAGCCAAGACUGAAACGGAGGCGAAAAUUCGCUUAGGGACGACUCCAUCUGAGCUGGUAAUUGUGAAUCCAAAUAAGAAAACUAAACCUGGAAACCAUCAUGGCUAUCGUUUGAUACCAGGGGCACCUACACACCCCCUUCUGCUAGAGGAUGACUAUCCACAAAUUCGUGGAGCCUUCUCUAAGUAUAAUGUGUGGGUCACCCCAUAUAACAAGUCUGAAAUAUGGGCAGGAGGAAAGUAUGUUGAUCAAAGCCAAGGACAAGACACUUUAGCUGUUUGGACCCUCAGGUACUCCAUUGCUAAUCUAAAACAGUAGAGAUCAUGUCAUUAAUUAACUUAAUUUCAAUCUCGAAAUUUAUUCCAAUUUUCUGUUUUUGGAUGUGCAGGGAUAGAAAGAUUGAAAACGAGGACAUAGUAUUAUGGCAUGUCUUAGGGUAUCACCACUCCCCUUGCCAAGAAGAUUUUCCUGUGAUGCCAACAUUGAGUGCUGGAUUCGAGCUCCGACCAGCUAAUUUCUUUGAAAGCAAUCCUGUGCUCAAGGUGUUGCCUCCUAAGCCUGUACGUUGGCCUAACUGCACCGCCAAACCAUAGUCUAUUUUCUUUCGUGUUUCUCGAAAUGCCAAAUAAAUUUGUCUCUACUUUAAUGCUUGCAUGUUGUUGUAUUUGUGGUGCGGAGCUUUGCUAUUGGGAGUUCCGUAUCGAAAACAAGAAAGCUUGCAAGAGCUCUGCUCGAUGAACUAGAACGUUUCAAUGUUUUGUUAGAAAUCAUAUGGUUUCCAACAAAAUAAUUCAUCUAACUAAAGAACUCCCUUUUUUUUUUUUUAGGAAGAAAGGCUAACUUCAAAUUUUAACUGCUGAAAUAGAGAUUUUAACCUGCCAACCAAAUGACUAAUAGCUUCAUUUGCUAUUAUUAAUUCCACUUCCCCUCCCUCAGGCUGAGGUAACAAGGCUCCACAACCCAGGCUUCUAUUUCCUAUAUGUGUGCCCAAGUCCUGUAUAGUAUCGUAGGAAUUUGAUCCUCAAACUGUAGGAUUGAACUCAUAGCACGAAACUGGUUAGCAUUUUUGUGUUUCCUUCCAUUAAGAGCAGAACGAGAACAAUAUGCCUUUUCACACUCUUUAUACAUUAAUUGUAAGCCGGCAUCUUGGCAAUGGUUCAGGAUGAAUGGACCAUAAUAUUGAGUUAUCUUGGAAUAAGCUUUAUAAUUUAUUUUUCCCGGCAAGUUCUUUUUCUAUAUUUUUUCUUUAGACUCCAUAUGUUUUUUUAUACAUGAUUAAAUUAAAUCAUUUUAUUAGAUUUAAUAGUAUUCUAGCGAAGAUAUUUUUUUUAACAUGCUAGCAGCGUUUGAUUUGAUUAAAUUUUUUAUUGCAAUUUAGUUUAGAAAAAAGAAGGUAUAGAUUGAUACUUGGCUUCGAAAAAAGAAGAAGAAUACUUAUCAAAUCCCAAGGUCCAAGCUCCAAGUGCGAGCAUAUUGACAAAGAAACGAGGCAAGAAGAUAAGAAGACAGAAAUGUCGAGAGGUAAUUAAAAGUCUUGGAAGAGUGGGGCUAGCGCCCAGCAAACACCAGCAACACAAUUAUCGAGAGCUGAUAAUCCAUCAGUUUACGAUCUUGAACGACGUUGCUUAACUCACCUAUCUAUUUCUAUUUUAUAAGGAAAAAAAUGAUGAAAACUGUCGCACCUUACAAAAAAUCCAAUUGCGUGUUCGGCUGGUGAUUUUUUUUUUGUUUUAUUGAUUUGGUUCUUUGGAGUCGUCAUCUAGUAUUUUAGUCACUAGGAAUUCUAACUGGUCUCAGAGAUUGGAUACGAGGACUGGUUGCGUAAAGAGAAGGUAUUAGCACCCCAAAUACGCCCUACCUAAGGUAAGCUGCAUUGUUUUAUUGUCUGAUAAAAACGAAGGUGUUAUUGUGUUUUCCUAGUUGUUGGUCUGUCUAUGGUUCAAGAAAAAUUCUCCUCGGUAAGGAGAUCUUUAUCUUAUCGGGUAAAAUCCUAACCGUUCUAAUGUCUAUACCAAAACUUUAUUAAUAAUAUUUAGGAAUACGUUUUACGUAUAAAUUCGUAAUCCCAAAUGCUAAAAGAAAACAAAAAGAUUUUUUUAGAAUUUUUGAAAUAUUGACCUAGUUCUCAUAGCUUGAAUAAACUAGUUAUUAAAGCCAAAAUGCAUGCUAAUACAUAUAUUGUUUUGAAAAAAAAAAAAAAAAAAUUUUGUUGUGUGAAAAUAUGAUGUUAUAAUAUUUAUAUAUAUAUAUAUAUAUAUAUAUAUAUUAGAGAGACUAGGCCGUAUUUUAAAACCAAAAAACAAAUUUUUUUUUGGAAAAUAUUAUUUUUUAUGCUUUGACGAAAAUCAAGUAUUUUAAUACUGAGUUUGUAUCCUUACGAUAUAAAAAUACAACUCAAUAUUAAUCCACUUUAAUAAAAAUAUGCAGAAAAAUCAACAACAUUUUUAGGGAUUUUUUAGAAUAUGUUUUGAAAGCAAAAACAUUUUUUAUUUUGAAAAUCUUUGAUAUUUUGACGAAAACCGGGUAUUUUUAACACUGGUUUUGUAUCUUUACGAUAUAAAAAUACAAACCAACAUUAAACCAUUUUGACAAAAAUAUGCAAGAAAAUCAACAAUAUUUUUUUAAGAUUUUUCAAAAUAUAUAUUUUUUAAUAUAAAUAUUUUUUUAUAUAUAUAGCAUAUAUAUACACAUAUAUUAUAAUAUAUAAUAUAUUAUAUUAUGAGGCUGGGCCGACCCAAAUAAAUGGGCCAGGCUCAGCCCAAAAAAAUAAAACGGGCCGUCCUCGACCCAAAAUGAAAUUGGGCCGAUCUCGGCCUAAAAACUUCUACAGUCUGGGCCAGGACCGGCCCAGACUUGCAAGGCUGGCCCAGCACCCUCGGCCCAGCAGGGGGGGGAGAAUUAAUUUUCUUCCCCCCGCCUCCUGCAUGCAGAACUCUUUAUGCAGGAGGUAACGCCUGCAACGAAAGCGAAGGGGGAAGAAGAAAAUUUACCUGGUGUGGAGGAGGCGGUCACUGGCGGGGCUGCGGUGGCGUGGCUGAGGAGGCGCUGCGGCUGUUUCCAAGUGUUCGGUUCACUCUCUCUCUCUCCUCCCUUCUCCUUGUUUCAGUUCUCUUUUUUCUUUUUGUUUUCGGUUUGGUUCCAAUAUUCCCUUCUCUCUCUCUCGUGCGUGCUCUCUCUUCUCUUCGGUCUCCUCCCUCUCCCUCCUCCCUUCAGUUCACUCUUUAUUUAUAGGGGAAGAAUCGGUGCGCCUUUUGCUAGUGCGGGAGCAAAUCACGCAACGGCUGGUCAGCCAUUGACUCGUUCGGUGGUCUUAUGGGGCUUCGGUGGGGGCGAGGAGAGAGAGGCGGGAAGGUUUGAAAUGGUUUUCGUCUUCUGCUGCUCUGCUCAGGGGGGAAGAAGGAAGAUGAACAGUGUCGUUCAAAACGACACCGUUCUAGUCUUCCUUUUUUUUUUUUUAUAUAUAUGAAACGACGUCGUUUUGGAUAAAACACGCCGUUUCAUUUAAAUGAGCCAAACUUCAAAUCAGCCCUCCAUCAUUUCUUGUUCAUUUCAAUUGUAUCCCUGCCAAAUUCGGUCCCCGCCUCUCUUGUUGGCCGAGUUUUUUCACUUUAGUCCUUGGGCUCUAAUUUAUGCAAUUGAGCCCUCAAUUGAUUAAUAAACUUUCAAUUUCUUCAAUUAGGCCCCUGAAUCGAAUAAUUGCAGCCCUUACAUUUACGCGCCUCUUCCAAUUUGGUCCAUGGUUUCGGAUUUUCUUAAUUAAUUCCCUAAUUGGCCAUUAAACUUCAAUAUUUAUGCAAUUAAGCCCCUGAUUUGACCUACAAAAUUCCUAAAAAAAAUAUUUUGGCCCCAGAACUUAAAUUUCUUUCAAUUAAAGCCCAAAUUGACUUAAAAAUCAAAUUUUCUUGCAAUCAAAUCUCCUAUAAAAUCAAUUAAAAAUCCAAUUAAGUUCAUAAACAUCCAAACUUCGGCUUUUGUCCUUAAAAUUCAAAUUUUUCCUUCUCAACAGGGUUCUCUUCCUUUAAGAAUAUACUGUCAAAAAUCCAAUCUUUAUAUUUUUUUUACUUCCUUGACCAAUUUUCCGACCAUUUUCUGAGCGCUUCUGCCUCUUGUUAUUUUUUUAGCCGUCUUUGGUUAUUUAUUUUAUUUUUUGUGGGGACCCAAAAAAAUGGGUUACAACAAAAACAUUAAAAAUGAUGAUAAUACAUUUGCUUUUCACAAUCUAUGAAACUUUAAUCGUUUUUUGAGACUAAAAUUUAAUGGCUUUCUACCUUGAUGUCCUCGUCACUGGCCAUCAAAGUCUUGGAAGACUUUGAUAAGAAAUGUCGAGAGAAAAUUCAAAGUCUUGGAAGAGAAAAGAAAAGAGACAUGUGCGUCCUGAAACUAGGUUUUGUCAAUUAGAGCAGUUGGGAUUGCCGGUUGGUGGAGAUUUUUUCCAAUGUUAAAUCCUCCUGUGUUGCCUGAGCUAAUCCAUAUGUAAAAAAUCUAUAAGAGUGAACUGAAACCUUCAUUUAGCAAUCCCUUAUCAUGUCAACAAAGAAAAAAAAAACAAUUAAGCUUCAAUAAUUUAUCAAACUGGUUUUAGACAUAACUAGAUAUAUUACGCGUGUUUUAUUAAAUAAUUUUUUUAAUGUAAAAAAAUUUAAAUCUCAAGUUACUAGUUAAAGUGAUAAUUUAAAUAAUAUAAUAAAAUAAUAACAAUAACUAAAUUAACAAACAGUGAUUAUUAAGGAUAUUGAAAUGUAUCAUUGAGAGUUGUACUCAAUGAUACAAUUCUAGCCAAAGAAUCAGGAGUUUUUUCUCAUGGUAACACAAUGAAAAAAAAAUAUAUUUUCGAGACUAACACAACUUUUUCCCCAAACUAGUAUAAUUUUACUAUUCAUACAGGUCUCACGUGUGAAACUCACAUAUUAAUUUUUUUUCCUUCUUUUUUCUACCUCAUUUCAUAAUCCGGUCCCUUUAUUCAUCUUUAAUUAACUUAUUUUUGUGCAAAACCUUUUUAUGCUCAAAAUUUCUGUGAGUGUGUGUGUAUAAUUGUUACUUUCAUCACUUUAGUUUUACUCUCAAUUAUUAAUCCUUUUAGAAAAAAAGUAAAUUAAAAUACUUAUAUAUUUUCUAUUAUAAUAGUAAAAAAAAAAAACAAACCAACCUAUUAAUAUCUCAACACUUCCAUCAUUUCUUGACAGGGUUUGCUGUCGUCUCAUUAGAACUUUGUAAGUAAUACAUGAUCAACCUAUUAAUAUCGAACCUCAUCUUUCCUGCUGUACUAAUUAAUUGGACGGUUUACACUCGCGCGCACAAUAUUCUAACAGCUAGAUACUGGUUUCACUGGAUUAUCUAGAUUUGGAUUUUAAUUGAAUCUUUUGAAUUUUAUAAAUUAAUUAAAUCAUUAAUUCCAGUCCCAUAAUUAUAAACUCAACAUAGUUAGGCGGGUCAUUACGUCAACCAACAUUAGUCUAAUUUGAAAAGUACGAUUGCAACUAAUAUUUUUUUCUGAAUACGUACGUGCACUCAUAAAAAAAGUCCAAAAUGCCUAUUUAAGGAUGAAGAAGCUCCAGAGUUCCUUCAUAGCCAUGGCUUCAACAUUGAAAGUGGUGCUCUUGUUACUCUUCUCUAGCUUUACUAUCUCGCCUAUCUCUUGCUACAAGGGUGCGCAGCACCCACUAGACCCUCUAUCCCCGAAAGAGUUGACCCUUGUCCAAACCAUUGUCAAGAAAUCAUACAACCCUAGCUCAAACAACACCAUAUCAUUCCAUUAUGUAGGGUUAGAUGAGCCAGAAAAACCAACUGUUCUGUCAUGGCUAUCGAAACCCAGCACCAAAACCCUUCCUCGCCGGGCCCUAGUCUUUACUCGAGUAAAUGAACAAACCCAUGAAAUUAUUGUAGACUUGUCGAAACGCAUCAUUGUAGAAGAUGAAGUUUACAAGGGACCCGGCUAUCCUUUACUUACAGCUGACGAGCAAAUAGCUGCGAUUCUGUUGCCAUUAACGUACGGUCCCUUUAUCGAAUCAACUAAAAAGAGAGACCUUAACGUUUCAUAUGUUGUUUGUUCUACAUUUACAGUGGGGUGGUUUGGAGGAGUUGAGAGAACUAAAAGGGUGGUAAAAGUUCAAUGUUUUUAUAACAAGGACACCGUUAAUUUGUACCUCAGGCCAAUAGAGGGUAUACAAAUAGUUGUCGAUCUUGAUAAAAUGAAGAUUGUUGAAUACAGUGACACGUUCAAGAUUGCGGUACCAAAAGCUGAGGGAACUGACUACAGAUUUUCCAAGCAGAACCCGCCUUUUGGUCCCCGUAUCAACGGUGCAGCCAUCAUGCAAACGAAUGGACCAGGCUUCGAGAUUGAUGGCCAUACUAUCAGGUUUUUUUUAUGCUAUUCUUUUUGUGCAUAUUUUGUUUCUCUUCUUCUUCUCAUCGUUAUUUCACUCAUCUUGAUACCUCUGUUCUAAUUAUUUGGCCAUAUAAAAAAAAGGGAGAAAGAAUUUGUCAUUUUUUGUUCUAUAAUGACUAUUCGAAUGUAAAAGCAAGUUAAGUUAAUCAGGCCAUGGUAUAUAUAUGACGUAAAAUAUGAAGAUUACGUUCAGGUUUUAAAAAUUAGGGUUACAAAACAAAUUUGAAAAUGCAGUUUUUUAAAAUUCAGAUCUCAAUUAAUGAAGGAAUUUAAUAACUAUUCACACACUCUGUGCUUGAAAAAUACUAUAUAUAUAUAUAUAUAUAUAUAUAUAUAUAUAUUCAGAUUAAUGAAAUCUAAUAUAAAUAUUAUUUUAAAAGUAAACACUAGAUUUAAGGAAUAGCGUAGGUCAAGUUGCAAGGUAUUAGACAGGAGCCUAAUCCAAAUAAGCUAAUUACCCAAAGCCCAUCUUCAGACUUAUAAGUCGUGAUUAGUGUGCAUUUUUAUUUCAGUUAUUUUUAGAUUAAUGGAAAAACCUCUAUAUCGAAUUUGUUUUAGAAAACAAUAUAAGUUGUUUAUAUAAUUGAAUAGAAAUUAAGUAAAAUAUGAACAUGUUUAAAUUUUAAAUUUUAAAUAUUUUUAUUUAAUAAAAUUAAUAUAUUAAAAAAAUAAUAUAAAUUAUAUUUUAAAAUCUUUAAUAAAUACUUUCACCAAAAAUAUGUAGCAGAGAUGGGAAACGUUUUUUUCUCCAUGUCCUUCAUUUGGUAGACAACGACAACAAGGAAGACAUAGAAACACUGGAACGUUUCUAAAAACUUUUAAUUUUUUUUUUUAGAUUUUUUUUUUAUGUUUUAGAUUGUUUUAAUGUGCUAAUUUUAAAAAUAAUUUUUUAAAAUAAAAAUAUAUAAUUUUAAUAUAUUUUGACAUGAAAAAUAUUUUAAAAAAAAUUAUAACUAUACUUUCAAAUAUACCCGUAAAACCACAGGAAAAAGCACUGGAUUUUUCUCGUGCAUCACAAUUAUUAGAAAACUCGAAUGGUAUCCUCCAAAUUCAAUGUUGACUGUACGCCUUAAGUUCAGUUGUGACCACUAAAUAUGUUCUUUUGCUUUCCUUGAAUGAGUUAUUUGCUCUUCAUUUUUGAACAAAUUUUCUACCCUUUGAAGCUCUCACGCACAUAGAUUUUAGAAAUGCCUGUGACAUUAGCUGGUAUUGUUUUUUUCUUUUAAAAAAUAUUAUUUUAGCUGAUAAUUUGGUGUGACGGGUGGAAAACACCUUCAAUUCUAUUAGAUUGACCAGUAUACCGACUUAUUCCAAAAAAAAGAUUGACCAGUAUACCGUAGUUUCGUUCCUCGUUUAGCUAUCGUUAAGUAAAGUAAACUUCCAAUCAACAGUCCAAGGGCGAGAAUGCACGCUUUGGUACUAUAGCUUAGGAGGUACUGAUUACAGUCUAAGGGCUCCCCGCCAUAAGAGCAUCUCCAAUGCAAAAAGUCAAAUUGAGAAGCUAAAUUAAUAAAAUGGCUUUUUGAAUAGUAUAAAUAUAGCAUUUUUUUAUUAUGUGCAUUCCAAUGGUAAAAAGCUAUUUAGAAAAGCCAUUUAUAUUUUAAUAUAUUUAAUGUUAAAUUCAUUUUUAUAUAAUUAUGUAACUAAUUUAGAUAUUUUAUAUAUAAUAUAAUUAUGAUGUUAUUAAUUAUAUAAUUAAUAUGAGUAAUUUAUAAAAAUAAUAUAAAAUUUAAUGAAAUAAUAUGAAAUUUAAAAGAUAUAAUUUAAAAUUAAACUUAAAAUUUAUUUAUAUGAAUAUUUUUAAUUUUCAGUUUUAUAUUUUACUGUUAAAAAUUUAAUUUUUUAAAAGUAAAUUCAAAUUCAAACUUUAAAAAAACCAUCAAUAUUUUAAAUUUUCAUUUUCAUUUUUUUUUUAAAUCAUGCUUUGAAAAAAUUUAAAACAAAAACAAGUUUCUUUCCUUGCUUUUAAAAAAAUAUACUUACUUUAUUUUUGGCUAUCUCUACAGGAACAUGUAGAAAUAGCUCUUCUCAAUUUAAAUAGCCAUUUUGGCUUCCUUGAUAGCUGCUGCAUUGGAGUGCUUAAUUAGAGAAACAAAAGCUAAAAAAAUACUUUUUUAAUUAUGCCUUCUCAUUUGACUCUCCGGUUGGAGAUGCUCUAAGUACCCUGUGUGUCUUUCAAUUAAAAGUGUUUCGGCUGACAAGAGCCACAUGAUCAAUCCAGAGUAUUAUUGUAGCUUAUACUAUUCAUGCUAAUUAAUUAGUAUAAACUAAUUAGUAUAAACAAUGUAUUGCUACACUGUAUGCUAAAAUCAGAGUUUAGCAUUGCUACAUUGUUAACCGAACAGUAUCUAGUAAAAUAAAAAAUAUUUUUUUUAAUUUAUUUUAUUCAAAAAAUUAGUGUUUAAUAAUAUUUAAUUACACUAUAUAAAUUAGACAGAGAUCGCUUGAUGACAUAACAUUUGCAGAAUUUAAUCGCAAUACCAAUUUUGUUCCUGAUUGUAUUUUAAAUGAUGUUAUUGCGGGCUUAAGAAACCAAAAAAACUAUAAUUCUUGUUGAAUGUAUUUCAUGCGUGAUGGAAUUGUAGAUAAUUUAAUGGAACAAUAAAAAAUAUUUUAUAUAAAAUAUUAUUUAUUUCAUGAUGCAAUAACAAUAGUUAAAUCUAUAAUAUUUAAAUUAAAAAUCAUUAAUAUUAAUAUUUAUUUUUUAAAAUUAUUUUAUAACCUCAAUUUUCAAAGUAUUAUUAACCAAACACAUUAAACUACCUUUUACUCAACCUUAAUUUUAACCACAGUUUUAACCAAACAUAUAAUUUUUCAAAUCAAUAUCAACUAAAAAUAUUUUUUAUAAAACAAGUUUUUUCAAAUCAUAACCAUAACAGCAUCUAUAAUAUCAAACACACUCUUAAUUUAUUUAUUAAUACGAAUUCUAGUAGAGUGUUGUUUUGUGAUGAUUGUAAAAUAGUUUUUAACUUAUUUAUUGAUAAUUUUAACCUCCUCCUCCUCCUUUUUUUUGUUUUUUUUUUUUGUUUUUGAUCAACCCUUUACCCCUACAUGUCCACGAAAUACUCGUAUGAAGGACAAAGUAUGCACGUGAUAUCGUACAUGGUGAUGUGUUGCUAGCUGUUCCUGAAACUUCUAGCCGUCCAGGGAUUGCAAAGUCGCAAUUCCCUUCUCGUGGUCCUUGUGAGAAUAUAAUGCUUUAAAAGUUUAGAAUUCCUCAAGGAAUCAAACUGACGUGAUAAGAGGCAAAUCAUACACUAGUUUCAACUUUGAUUUCAUUUGGGCUGUUUCAAUUUGGUAUAAUGUUUUUUUUGUUUGAAAUUAUGUUUAGAUUUUUAAACAAAAUAUUUAAAUUAAUAUUUUAAAAUAUUAUUUUUUAUGAUUAUGAUAUGUUGAUAUCAAAACUGAAAAAAAUAUUAUAUUUUUUAAAAAAUAAAAAAUAUUUUUAAAAAUCAUUAUGUAUUAUUACAAUACAAAGUACAUAAUUAAACCAAAAUAUUUGAGUUGUAAUAAUGAUAUUUCUGUGGGUGGUUUUAUUCCGCUGUUUUAGUUGCUUGUACGGGCUUAAUAAACAGAAGAAUAAAAUACAAAAUUUUUUUUUUAAAAAAGGAAUUGGUUUUUACAUAUUUUAAUAUAAUUUUUGAAAUUUAAAAAAAAUUAAUUUUAUUUUCAGCAUUUUUUGCUUUAAAAAUUAAAAAUUAAUUCAACUUAAAUUGAUAUAGACAUGUGUCAUAUAUUUUCAGUAAUUUUUUACGGUGUUUAUUUUUUAAAAAUAAAUAUAUUAACUAAAAAUAUUUGGAAUGUAAAAAACACAAAUACCUUCAUCUACAAAUAUUAAAAACGGCUUGAAUUUAUUUUUAAAAAUAUUUUAUUUUUUGAAAACGGAAUUUCAUUUUCUCAAGCUGUUUUUGCUUUAAGAAAUUAAAAAUUGGCAUCAUUUUGAUUAUUUGAACACUUCUAGUAUAUCUAGAGAGUCAACAAAUUCAAAUUAACAGUGUUUCCAGUCUUCAAGAUUUCUUUACCCUUUCCAUUCUGAGGUUAACAUUUAAAUCCCCAUGAUUAAAUUAUACCCUACUAUACUAAACAAAUUCCUAUAUUAAGGUAUGUUUGCCGAUUAAUUUUAUGAAAUCAAAAGUAAUGGAUUUAAUGAUCACAUCAAUAAUUCACUUCUCAAAAUAGAAUAAAUUAAAAUCAUACAAUAAAGACAAUAUCCCUUUGUUUUUUUUUUUUUCGGAAAUGUUAGUUUCUCCACAUGUCGCAGCUAGAAACACGUUUUCUUCUUUUUCUUGUGUGAAAAGGUACAAAAUGACUUAAUUUAUUUUUGUUAUUUCAAUGGGGGGGAAAGUAUAUCUCUGGCAUUUUUCGCAAUCGGCUUUGGUUAAUCGAACCUUGCCCUACUGAGUAAUAAAGUAAAAACAAAACAUGAAGCUGGCCAUGGCAUUUCCUGAUUCGAUAAUUAAUUAUUUGUCGUUCCUUUUAUUUUAAUAUAUUUUUGAAAAGCUUAACAAACAACAAACUGCAAAUUUGAUCCCUAUCAGAUGGGUCAACUGGGUGUUUCAUCUGGCAUUUGAUGUCCGAGUUGGACCAAUUAUAUCUCUGGCAUCAAUUUACGAUCCAGAAAAGCACACCUAUCGCAGCGUGUUGUACCGAGGACACAUAUCUGAACUCUUUGUCCCCUACAUGGAUCCAACCGAGGAAUAUUACUACAAAACAUUUUUUGAUUGCGGAGAAUUCGGGUUUGGUCAAAAUGCGGCUUCAUUGGUGCCCCUGGCCGAUUGUCCAAAUAAUGCAGUCUUCAUGGACGGCUACUACGCAGCACAUGACGGUUCAGCAGUGGAAGUAGCAAAUGCUUUUUGCAUAUUUGAAAGGCACGCUGGAGAUAUCAUGUGGCGACAUACCGAGUUGGGGAUUCCAAACCGAGUGGUAAACAUUUUUUGUGACGUUAUAUUUUAGAGCCAUUGAUUUCGAUUUCAUCAGCUAAUAUAUAUAUAUAUAGGAUUGAAAAAUGUGUUCGUUAUUUUCAGAUCAAUGAGGCGAGGCCUGAGGUGAGCCUAGUAGUGAGGAUGGUUGCCACGAUCGGUAACUAUGAUCAUAUAAUAGACUGGGAAUUCAAGCCAAGUGGUUCUAUCAAAGCUCAGGUAAACUGUAGGCAAUGGCGUGGGCCGCGUGGCUUUAUAUAUAAUUAACCUUGAUCAUGUCCUCAAGUUUGUAACACGUUCUAUGCCUCAACAGGUUGGUUUAAGUGGAAUUCUUGAGGUGAAGUCAACAACAUUCACCAACGUGGAUCAGAUAAAUGAAGAAGUUUACGGUACAUUGUUGGGAGACAACACAAUCGGCUUAAACCAUGAUCAUUUCUUGACUUACCGCCUUGAUCUUGACAUUGAUGGUGCUGCCAAUUCUUUUGUUAAGCAAAAUUUGGUAACCAAACAAGUGAAGGAUAAUGUCUCACCAAGGAAGAGUUAUUGGACUGUCGUUAGUGAAACAGCCAAGACUGAAUCGGAGGCGAAAUUUCGCUUAGGGACGACUCCAUCUGAGCUGGUAAUUGUGAAUCCAAAUAAGAAAACUAAACCUGGAAACCAUCAUGGCUAUCGUUUGAUACCAGGGGCACCUACACACCCCCUUCUGCUAGAGGAUGACUAUCCACAAAUUCGUGGAGCCUUCUCGAAGUAUAAUGUGUGGGUCACCCCAUAUAACAAGUCUGAAAUAUGGGCAGGAGGAAAGCAUGUUGAUCAAAGCCAAGGACAAGACACUUUAGCUGUUUGGACCCUCAGGUACCGUACUCCAUUGCUUAUCUAAAACAGUAGAGAUCAUGUCAUUAAUUAACUUAAUUUCAAUCUCGAAAUUUAUUCCAAUAUUUUUCUGUUUUUGGAUGUGCAGGGAUAGAAAGAUUGAAAACGAGGACAUAGUAUUGUGGCAUGUCUUAGGGUAUCACCACUCCCCUUGCCAAGAAGAUUUUCCCGUGAUGCCAACAUUGAGUGCUGGAUUCGAGCUCCGACCAGCUAAUUUCUUUGAAAGCAAUCCUGUGCUCAAGGUGUUGCCUCCUAAGCCUGUACGUUGCCUAACUGCACCGCCAAACCAUAGUCUAUUUUCUUCCGUGUUUUCGAAAUGCCAAAUAAAUUUGUCUCUACUUUAAUGCUUGCAUUUUGUUGUAUUUGUGGUGCGGAGCUUUGCUAUUGGCAGUUCCGUAUCGAAGAAAGCUUGCAAGAGCUCUGCUCGAUGAACUAGAACGUUUCAAUGUUUUGUUAGAAAUCGAACUGUAUCAAUAUUUUGCUUCAGAGCUGGGGAAAUAUUGUAGGAUACGACACUUCUGUGUUAGUCAGGGGUCCAUAUCAGGUAUUAGGGUUCUUAUUCGAACCACAAAGCUGGAACCUUUACAUGAUCAAGUAUUGCUUCAGCUCGAUGAGUGCAGGUUGAGGUCAGUUUGAAAGAAAUCAAAGGUGAGUUUAUCCCCUCUCACAACAAUCAAACACUCUAUGGAUGUAUCAUUGUGUUCAACUACUGUGCUAUCCGAUGACGACGAAGAUGAUUUUUGUGAGGAAACUAAUAGAGCAGCAACGACUCACAUAGAGACAAAACAAAAACCCGAAUUUGAAUAUGAAUUCACCGGAUUAUUGGGCUCCCAAACUCAGAUUGCUAGCACACUCAUCUGGUCUGAAGUUUCACCGAUGUACCUCUACCCAGAAAUUACUGAAUUUUGUAGACAUGCAGGUUUAUCUAAUGAGAGUACAUCCGAAGUUGAUAAUCGAUUAGCCUUGGUACCUUUCGUAUGUGUCGAGGUGGAUUCAGUUGCAUGCGGAGAGGUAGAUGUGCAACAUGUUUCUUGCUUUCCUAUUAAGGAUGGGCUGGAUCAACAUAUCGUUUAUGACAGUGGACUCCUACAGAAUAUGGGCCGUAAGAAACAGCAGAAAUCUUCAAGCAUAGGAUCGGAAACCAAUCGUGAUUCAACAAGCAUUGGGCCAUCUUUUACAACCUUCAUCACUCCUAUUGCUGAUCCAUAUGAGCUUACGGCUCUGGAAGUAGGAAACAGGAAAUCCCACAGAAAACACGCAAAAAAGCUCACACGCAGAACAAAAUCUCUUAGGAGGAGGAAAUCAAGUCAUAUGGGAAAACACAACGGUAUGCAAUCAGAGACCGUAAUUGUUGAAUAUUCAGUUUCUGAUAAUGGGAUAAAGAAUAGAAAUGCUAUUAUCAAAUCUGGUAAGGAAUUGAUUGGUGAGGAUGAGGCAAGUAGUUCAAGAUACAGACCCGACACCAAUGCUGGUGAUGAAGCAUAUGAGCCUGCACAUUCUGAUAACUGGGCCGAAGCCACUGCUUGCUGGGAAGUUGGAAAAGCUAUUCUCCAAGGGCAUGACGAUAGCACACUCAUGACUCAGACUCUGCAGGGAUUCCUAGAUCGAGAACAGGAAGAGUGGAUCCUAAGGAAGAAGACAUGAUUUGCUUCCGUAUAUAGUCUGAAGGUAUGGUCUCUGAAAUCACUUAUAUGGGUAGUAUAAUUGUAUGGAAUGUUUGUGGAUUAGGGGGCAGAGAAAAAAAGAGAUGUUUGAGGAAUCUCGGUAGAAAAUUUAAUCUUCAUAUCCUGGGUAUUUUGGAAACAAAAUUGGAAACUUUGAAUGAUUUCACUAUUACUGCUAUAUGGGGUCGUCAUCCUAAGGCUUGGUAUGUAGUUCCCUCAUUGGGCCUUUCAGGGGGGAUUUUAUGUAUUUGGAAUCCGAAUCUAUUUUGUGUCUCUGGAUGUUCUGUUGCUAUGAAUGGCCGUUUUUGCAUAUCGAAGGCACCUUCACUCGAUCCAAUCUAGAUUCUAGUCUCUUUUGUAUAUGCUCCGAAUAUUGGGAUCCUGAAGAAUGAGCUGUGGACUUAUCUUGUUACAUUCAGGGAUAGUGUUAGCAAGCCGUGGUGUCUUGCGGGUGAUUUUAAUGAAACCUUAUUUCCAUCAGAUAGGAAAGGCGGCUCACAAAUCACAUCUUCCAUGUCAAGAUUUAAAAAUUGCAUUGAUGAUUGUAAUCUUAUAGAGCUCCCCUUAAAUGGAAGAAAAUUUACAUGGUCUCGAGGUAAUGCGGCAAGCCGGAUUGAUAGAAUAUUUCUCUCGGGGGAUUGGUUGCAGGCUUUCCCAUCCUCCUCUUUAUUUGGUCUCUCAAAAUAUUCAUCCGAUCAUAGGCCUUUGCAUCUGUUGCUAGAUCAUACAAAUUGGGGCCCGAAACCUUUUCGCUUCAUGAAUUGCUGGUGGCUUGCGUCUGAUUUCAGGAUUAUGAUUCAGAGCUUCUGGAGCUCAAUCGCGGUUUCCAAAUCUGGUACAAGGAAAAUGGUCCCAGCUCUAAAGAUGUUGAAAGAGAGAUGUCGACAAUGGAGUAAAGCAUCUGUGGGAAACAUGAAUGAUAGAAUUGAAGAACUGGAACUUGAAGCUGACUUAAUGGAUCGUCAAAAUGAGUGCAGGGUCUUGAAUACUGAUGAACUGAUUAGAAGUAAAUCCAUUGCCUCCCAGCUCAAAAUCUUGUAUAGAGCUCAAGAGUCUGCCUGGCAUCAGAAGUCAAGAAUUCAGUGGUGUAAUCUUGGAGAUAAAAAUACCCGAUUCUUUCAUUUAGCUGCAACAACAAGACAGAAAAAGAAUCAGCUUGCAUGCUUGGAGGUUGAUGGAAAGAUCCUAUCUAAACCAAAUGAGGUGAAGCUAGCUGUCUUUCACUUUUUCCGCAACUUGUACUCCCACCAGAACAGACCUAGAGCGUCAUGUUCAAACCUAGAAUUCUCAAGGCUGAAGUCUUCCUCCUCGGCUGCUCUUGAAUUUCCAUUUUCUGCAGAAGAGAUUAAAGCAGCUGUGUGGGAUUGUGAUGGAAAUAAAGCCCCAGGUCCUGAUGGUAUUAACUUUCUUUUCAUCAAGAAAGCAUGGAACAUUAUAGGUCAGGACAUUAUCCAGAUGGUUGAUGAAUUCUAUCGGACUAAUCUCCUCCCUGCAGGUAUCAAUAGCACCUUCGUUACUCUUAUUCCAAAGAUUAAAAGUGCUAUCAAGCUAUCGGAUUUCAGACCUAUUAGUUUGGUGGGUAGCCUAUACAAGAUUUUCUCAAAGAUUCUUGCAACUAGGUUGAAACAUGUUAUGCCAGAGGUCAUCUCUCAUCAUCAAAAUGCUUUCAUCAAAGGGAGGCAAAUUUUAGACAGCGUCUUGAUUGCAAAUGAGGUCCUUUCUUUCAUCAAGAAGAAAAAGGGUAAAGCUUAUCUUUUCAAACUAGAUUUUCAUAAAGCCUUUGAUUCGGUGUUAUGGGAAUAUAUUAAUGACAUCAUGGCUAGUAUGGGCUUCGGUAGUAGAUGGCGAGGGUGGAUAAUGCAAUGCAUAUCAACGGCAAAAAUGUCUGUGCUUGUUAAUGGGUCUCCCACGGAGGAGUUCUGCUUAGCUAAAGGCCUACGCCAAGGAGACCCUCUCUCUCCGUUUCUCUUCAACAUUGCAGUCCAGGGUUUGAGUUGUAUGUUGCAGCGUGGCUGUGAUUUGGGUUUGACUUCGGGUAUAAACAUUGACAAUUCAGGGCUUGUCAUAUCUCACCUACAGUUUGCGGACGACACCCUUAUGUUCAGCUCAGACUCUCUUCAUAGCAUGCAAACAUUAAACGUAUCCUAUUAUGCUUUGAACUUGUCUCAGGGCUGAAGGUCAAUUUUCAUAAAAGCAGUAUUGUGGGUGUGGGUGUAGCAGCUCAUACAUGUACCUUCACAGCUCAGCUUCUCAGAUGCAAGCAGGAUCAGUUGCCUCUCAUGUAUCUUGGGCUCCCCAUCGGUGGAAACUUGGGCAGAGCUACAAUGUGGAACCCUAUUUUGCGCAAUAUCAGUUAUCGGUUGGCUUCGUGGAAAGGCAGAUUCUUAUCUAUUGGGGGUCGUUUGUGCUUGAUUAAAUCUGUGCUCACAAUCUCCCCAUCUACUACCUAUCUAUGUUCCCCAUGCCUACUACGGUAGCCUCCAAAAUUGAUCAGAAACUUCGAUCCUUCCUCUGGUCUGGAAAUGCGGAAAGGCACAAAAUAUGCAAUGUUAGCUGGGCAACUGUUACUCUUCCAAAACAUGCGGGUGGUCUUGGGAUUGGUUCUUUAAGGGACAAAAAUACAGCUCUGCUCUUUAAAUGGUUAUGGAGGUUUAGGUUGGAGGAAUCAAGUAUGUGGAAGGGUGUGAUCAAAAGCAUCUACAACACCAAUUGCUCUAAUCUGCUGCUGCAAGCUCCUAUUCCAGGAACUGCAACUACAUGGUCCCGGAUUGUCAAUCAUUGUGUGAGAAAUAAUAAGUUGCAGGAUAUUGUGAAUGAGCAAUCUUUGGUCCUUAUCGGAAAUGGCAAGAAAACUUUGUUUUGGCUUGAUUGCUGGCUUAAUAAUCACUGUUUAGCAGAUCACUUCCCUACUCUUUUCCAAUUAUCCAAUGACAAAGAUGCCACCAUUGCUAAGAUGGGAAUGUGGGAAGGGUAUGAGUGGAUUUGGUUUUUUUCAUGGAUACGUCCACUACGGGGGCGCAACAUUGGCUUGCUUGAUCAACUAUAUGCAAUCCUAUCAAUAGUACUCAUGGACAAAGAUGGAGAGGAUAGACUAAUUUGGAAGGACAAUAAUUCAGGAAGAUUUUCAGUGAAAUCUCUCUGCGGAUUGUUGAGUCCAAAGCCUUCCACAAACAAUGCCUUCUCAUUUGCUGGAUUUUGGAAAGGUAUUGUCCCUCCUAAGGUAGAGAUCUUUUGCUGGAUGGCUAUCAUUAACAGACUCAACACCCGAUGUAUGUUGGUUCGAAGAGGUAUCUUGAGUAGCUCGGAAUCAAAUUGCCCUAUUUGCCUUGUUGAAGCAGAAUCGGUGGACCAUAUUCUGCUUCACUGCCAUAAGCAUUGGCUCAUUUGGUCCAAAAUCAUUAAAUGGUGGGGUUUAGUUUGGUGUUGCCCAAAGAGCUUCUCAGAUAUGUGGUCUCAAUGGUCUUCCAUGGUGCAUGGUAAUUUUCAAAGGAAGGCAUGGUUGAUGUUGUUCUUCUCAGUGGCAUGGUCUCUUUGGCUCCUUCGAAAUGAUCUCAUUUUCCAACAGAAGACACCUGAUUAUGACUCAAUUUUUUUUCUUAUUAUCACCCGUCUAUGUCUUUGGCUAAAAGCUAUCCAUUCAGAUUUUCCAUACUCCCCUACAGAUCUGAUCAGAUCGGCAGAUGGCUUGCUUCGGUGGUCCAAUGCUCACUCUUUCAGGAUUAAAAAUAUAUGGUCUCCUCCUAUGAUUAAUAGGCUCAAAUGGAAUGUGGACGCUCUUCUCUUGGUAAGCCAGGCCCCUCUGGAAUAGGUGGUGUGCUGCGAAAUCAUCAUGGCCAUGUGCUCGGUAUGUUCUCUGUUCCAGUUGGUAUUUUAGACUCUAAUAUUGCUGAGUUAAGGGCUAUUGUGAAAGCCAUUGAUCUAUCAGCAUCUAAUUGCCAUUUACACCAUCAACACCUCAUCAUCGAAUCUGACUCUGUCAAUGCUAUUCGCUGGAUGAAUAAUCCUCUCAGUCGUCACUGGAAGCAUCAUAAUUUGUUCUCCUAUGUUAAUAGACUGAAAGCAUAUUUUGGUUCAAUCACCUUCUCUCAUAUCUUUCGUGAAAGUAAUUGCAUGGCAGAUGGUUUGGCUAAGCAAGGAGUGCGGAGAUCAAGUGAAUUUGUUGCCUGGCUUUGAAUCCACCAUUUUUCUAUGGGCUUGCUAUUGUUUCUUCUCCCAUUAUGUCUUUGAGUAUUUUCUGUUUUGUUUCGUUGAGGAAUGUUUAGUUUCAGCUCAUUUGGAUGGAUUUUGUAUGGUUUUCUUUGCUUUGGUUUAUCUUAAGUUGCGCUUUAUCCUUCAUAUGACUUUAUGCCAUAUUAAGAUAUUGUGUAGCUUUUGUUCUAUUCCCGUCAGACUUUGACGCUUAUAUAAUAUACACAUCUUUCAAAAAAAAAAUCAUAUGGUUUCCAACAAAAUAAUUCAUCUAACUAAAGAACUCCCUUUUUUUUUAAGAAGAAAGGCUAGCUUCAAAUUUUAACUGCUGAAAUAGAGAUUUUAACCAGCCAACCAAAUGACUAGUAGCUUCAUUUGCUAUUAUUAAUUCCACUUCCCCCCCUCAGGCUCAGGCUGAGGUAACAAGGCUCCACAACCCAGGCUUCUAUUUCCUAUAUCUGUGCACUGUGCUGUGGGGUCAGAAGAAAGACCACAAAAUUAAAUGUUGAUAUGUCUCAUUCCAACUGUGGCGGUCCCCCGUUUUCUUUUCUAACUUUGAAUUGAUCUGAGGCGGUUUCUGAAGGAGAUGACUGUGCUUAACGGCUUGUGUCUGGGGAUUUGGAGAGGAUAGAUAAGGAGAUUGAGAGGACAGUGGUCAAGAAAAAAUAAAAGAGACAUGUGCGUCCUGAAAACUACGUUCUGUCAAUUAGAACAGUUGGGAUUACCGGUUGGUGGAGAUUUUUUCCGAUGUUAAAUCCUCCUGUGUUGCCUGAGCUAAUCCAUAUGUAAAAAAUCUAUAAGAGUGAACUGAAACCUUCAUUUAGCAAUCCUUUACCAUGUCAACAAAGAAGAAAAAAACAAUUAAGCUUCAAUAAUUUAUCAAACUGGUUUUAAACAUAACUAUAUGUUAUGCGCACUUUACUACGAGUUAAAUAAUUUUAUUAAUAUAAAAAAAUAAAAAAUAAAAAAGUAAAUAAAAUUAUUCAAGUUAUUAGUUAAAAUAAUAAUUUAAAUAAUAUAAUAAAAUAAUAACAAUAAAUAAAAUAACAAACAGUGAUUAUUAAGGAUAUUGAAAUGUAUCAUUGAGAUUUGUACUCAAUGAUACAAUUUUAGCCAAAGAAUUAGGAGUUUUUUUUUCUCAUGGUAACACAAUGAAAAAAUUAUAUUUUCGAGACUAACACAACUUUUUUCCCAAACUAGUAUAAUUUUACUAUUCAUACAGGUCUCACGUGUGAAACUCACAUAUCAAUUUUUUCCCUUCUUUUUUCUACCUCAUUUCAUCAUCCGGUCCCUUUAUUCAUCUUUAAUUAACUUAUUUUUGUGCAAAACCUUUUUAUGCUCAAAAUUUCUGUGUGUGUGUAUAGUUGUUACUUUCAUCACUUUAGUUUUACUCUCAAUUAUUAAUCUUUUUAGAAAAAAAGUAAAUUAAAAUAAUUAUUUUCUAUUAUGAUAGUAAAAAAAAACAAAUCUAAAAGCAUGAGAAUUCUUUUUAGUUCUGAAACUUGUUGGGAACACCAAAGGCACUGACAGAACUUAUUAGGACUGUGAAGGAUAAUUGAUUUUUGUCUAGAUUUAUUUGUAUAUUUUUUAUUUAAAAAUAUAUUAAAAUAAUAUUUUAAAAAAAAUUAUUUUUGAUAUUAACUCAUUAAAAUAAUUUAAAAAUAUUAAAAAAUAUUAAUUUCAAAAAAAUAUAUAUUUUUUAAAAAAUAUUUUUAAAACACAAAAAAUAACAAUCUUUUAUUCAAAUGUUUUCAACAACUUGUUAUUAUCCACGGGCAGAUAGUAUUAUUGGAUAGAAGAAACGCCAGAAAUUACAACAGGAGAACAGAACAAAGCUGGCACCUGCAGUCUCUUGUAAUUGCCUCACCUCUCUCUUUAUCACUCAUAUUUCAAGUGGUUUGUAAUUGAUUUUUAAAAUAUAUUUUAUUUAAAAAUAUAUUAAAAAAAUUAAAAAUUAUUUUUAAUAUAAGUACAUUAAAUUAAUUUAAAAACACCAAAAACAUUAUUAAUUUAAAGCAAAAAAUUUUAAUAAUACUUUUAAAACAUGCAUCACCUUUGUCACCCGUCCAAGCUGCUACUCAUGGCUGCUAUUGCUGCUGCCAUAAAUGCAGUAGCCUCUCUAUGUUUUGGCGCUCUUCCACUGCUUGCCUCGGCUCUCAAUAAAUUAUUACAUUAGAUACAUAUUAUAAUAUUAACAUGGGGAUAAGCUUAGAGAUAAGGAAUCUCGAGGAUGAUGGGCGUGGAUCCAAUUUUCGAUUUCUCAGUUGGAAACAUAUAUAUCUUAUUCCUAAUAACGGUCGUAUUCUACUCAUCAGCAUAGAUCAUUCAAUCUUAUUUAUCUUGUGUAAUUAAUAUGCAAGAGUAUAUUUUAGUUAUUAUCUGGCAUAACCUCGACUAAGUCUCGAGUAACCCUCAAAUCAUUCACGAUAAAGUCUUAUAUCUACUACUAUUGCAAUCAUAUUAGCACGCCCCCUUUUAACUCUACAUUCUCUCUAUGUUUUUUUUUUCCCUUAAGAAUGAUCCACUUUUAUUCUUAAUACUUUAUUUCAAAUUAAUUAAUCUGGAUAUUAUAAACUGUGCAAAUAUCUCAACACUUCCAUCAUUUCUUGACAGGAUUUGCUGUCGUCUCAUUAGAACUUUGUAAUUAAUACAUGAUCAACCUAUUAAUAUCGAACCUCAUCCUUCCUACUGUACUAAUUAAUUGGACGGUUUACACUCACACACAAUAUUCUAACAGCUAGAUACUGGUUUGACUGGAUUAUCUAGAUUUGGAUUUUAAUUGAAUCUUUUGAAUUUUAUAAAUUGAUUAAAUCAUUAAUUCCAGUCCCAUAAUUAUAAACUCAACAUAGUUAGGCGGGUCAUUACGUCAACCAACAUUAGUCUAAUUUGAAAAGUACGAUUGCAACUAAUAUUUUUUUUUCUGAAUACGUACGUGCACUCAUAAAAAAAUCCAAAAUGCCUAUUUAAGGAUGAAGAAGCUCCAUAGUUCCUUCAUCCAUGGCUUCAACAUUGAAAGUGGUGCUCUUGUUACUCUUCUCUAGCUUUACUAUCUCGCCUAUCUCUUGCUACAAGGGUGCGCAGCACCCACUAGACCCUCUAUCCCCGAAAGAGUUGACCCUGGUCCAAACCAUUGUCAAGAAAGCAUACAGCCCUAGCUCAAACAACAGCAUAUCAUUCCAUUAUGUAGGGUUAGGUGAGCCAGAAAAACCAACUGUUCUGUCAUGGCUAUCGAAACCCAGCACCAAAACCCUUCCUCGCCGGGCCCUAGUCUUUACUCGAGUAAAUGAACAAACCCAUGAAAUUAUUGUAGACUUAUCCAAAUGCAUCAUUGUAUACGAUGAAGUUUACAAGGGACCCGGCUAUCCUUCACUUACAGCUGACGAGCAAAUGGCUGCGAGUCAGUUGCCAUUAACAUACGGUCCCUUUAUCGAAUCAACUAAAAAGAGAGACCUUAACGUUUCAUAUGUUGCUUGUUCUGCUUUUACAGUGGGGUGGUUUGGAGGAGUUGAGAGAACUAAAAGGGUGGCAAAGGUUCAAUGUUUUUAUACCAAGGGCACCGUUAAUCAGUACCUCAGGCCAAUAGAGGGUAUACAAAUAGUUGUCGAUCUUGAUAAAAUGAAGAUUGUUGAAUACAGUGACACGUUCAAGAUUGCGGUACCAAAAGCUGAGGGAACUGACUACAGAUUUUCCAAGCAGAUUCCGCCUUUUGGUCCCCGUAUCAACGGUGCAGCCAUCAUGCAAACGAAUGGACUAGGCUUCGAGAUUGAUGGCCAUACUAUCAGGUUUUUUUUUUUUUUAUUCUAUUCUUUGUUUCUCUUCUUCUUCUCAUCAUUAUUUCACUCAUCAUGAUACCUCUGUUCUAAUUAUUUGGCCAAAUUUAAAAAAAAAAAAAAGAAUUUGUCAUUUUUUGUUCUAUAAUGAACAUUCGAAAGUAAAAGCAAGUUAAGUUAAUCAGGCCAUGGUAUAUAUAUGACGUAAAAUAUGAAGAUUACGUUCAGGUUUUAAGAAUUAGGGUUACAAAACAAAUUUGAAAAUGCAGUUCUUUAAAAUUCAGAUCUCAGUCAAUUAAGCUAAAUUACCCAAGGCCCAUCUUCGGACUUAUAAGCGUGAUUAGUGUGCAUUUUUGUUUCAGUUAUUUUUAGAUUAAUGGAAAAACCUCUAUAUCGCAUUGGUUUUAGACCACAGUAUAAGUUGUUAAAACGUCGUGUGAAAAAAUAUACUAGCAAUAAUUAAGAACGUUAAAGCAAUAUUUUCUUUUUCUUUAUAGUACGUAUUCAUCAAUUAUUAUCGAAGUAGAUUAUAUUUUUUUGGUGAUAUUAUAAUGUAGAAGCUAUUGAAACUAUUAAAUAUCUUCAAUAGUAACAAUAAGUGAAAUUAUAUUAAUGAGGUUAGUUAGGUAUCAAAUAUGUCUACGGAAGAAUUUUAAGAGCAUACCCAAGUAUCCGAAAAGCAAUCCAUGUGUUAAUUCUAUUAUUUAUUAAUUUUGGAUAUAUUCGAAAAGCAAUCCAUAUGUAGGGAGAAAUAUCAAAUCAAAUAUGUAUACACGUGCUGGGAGUUUGAACUAUGUUGACUACAUAUAUAUCGUUGUGUCCCUAAUAAUUAUCGAUGUAAGUAAAACAUUUAUUGACUGCUUGUGUCAAGACAAUCACCCACACCACAAGCACCUGUUUUUCUAUUUUCUUUCCUUUAUGGGUUACAAUUCAGGUUUGUUGUUUAGUUGGUACUUCAGUAAUACACGAAUCUUUAAAACUACUCUAUAUUCGUGGUAUUUUGAAGACUAAAAGCAUUCCACUUUAAUUUUAAUCUUACUGAAAUAGUUGUAUUUAUGAAUUUAUUAUUAUUAUUUGAUCGAUCUCUCUCGUGCUUAAAAUUAAACAGUUUCUGCCUAACGUUUAAAAAUUAAAAAUGUUGCGGCUCAAUAAAAAAAUAUAUUUGGUAAAUAGAUUGUAGAAGAAAAAAAAAUUGAUAUUUCAUCUUGAAAGCUGCAGAUAAAAAAUGUGUUGUGCUAAAUCUUUCAUAGUUAAAUCAUUAAUUAAGUGAUGUUCUUUUAAGAAAGAAGAAGUUAAUUAGGUCUAUAGUUUGAGUUUCACUAAUCUCACCAUCCAAAGAAAAAAAAUUAUAAUUUCAGCAUCCUCAUUUUAUAUAUAUAAAAAUAUAAACUUAAAUUGUAAAUCUAUUUAAGUUUUAAACUCAAAAUACUUUUACUUAAAAAGAUAUUAUUAAAAAAUAAUAUAAAUUAUAUUUUAGAAUUUCAUCUCUUAAUUUAAAAUUUUGAAUUGAAAUCAUUCACCAAUAUUACACUAUAUAUACUUGGGAUCAAGACUUUCAUCGAAAGUAAAAAAUAUGGUUAAGUAUAGACUUGGGAUCAAGACUUUCACCGAAAGUGAAAAAUGUGAAAAACAUGGAUAAGAGAUGGGAAAUGUUUUUUCUCCAUCGCCAUUCAUUUGGUAGACAAUGACAACGAGGAAGACAGAGAACCACUGGAACAUUAAUAUAUAUAUAUAUAUAUAUAUAUAUAGGACCACAUAUAUAUAUAGGACCACUGGAAAAAGCAAUAGGCGUUUCUCGAACAUCGCAAAUCACAAAGAUUAGAAAACUCGAAGGUAUCCUCCAAACUCGAAGCAAUAUUUUUUAUGAUUAUUAUAUGCUGAUAUCUAAAUUGAAAAAAAAUAUUUUUUGAAAUAAAAAGUAUUUUUAAAAAUCAUUAUGUAUUAUUACAAUACUAAAUACAUAAUUACACUAAAAUAUUUGAGUUGUAAUUAUGAUAGUUAUAUGGUUUUAUUCCGUUGUUUUAGUGGCUUGUACAUGUUUAAUUAAUAAACAGUAGAAUAAAAGAUUAUAAUACAAAUUUUUUUUAAAGCAAUUUUUUAACAUAUUUUAAUAUAAAUUUUGAAAUUUUAAAAAACUGAACUUUAUUUUCAGCAUUUUUUGCUUUAAAAAUUAAAAAUUAAUUCAAAUUAAAUUGAUACAGACACGUGUCAUAUAUAUUGAGUCAGUAAUUGCUUACAGAAAUGUUAUUAGUUUUUCCACAUGUCGCAGCUAGAAACACUUUUUCUUCUUUUCUUGUGUGAAAAGGUACAAAAUGACUUAAUUUAUUUUUGUUAUUUCAAUGGGGGGGGGAGUAUAUCUCUGGCAUUUUUCGCAAUCGGCUUUGGUUAAUCGAACCUUGCCCUACUGUGUAAUAAAGUAAAAACAAAACAUGAAGCUGGCCAUGGCAUUUCCUGAUUCGAUAAUUGAUUAUUUCUCGUUCCUUUUAUUUUAAUAUAUUUUUGAAAAGCUUAACAAACAACUAACUGCAAAUUUGAUCCCUAUCAGAUGGGUCAACUGGGUGUUUCAUCUGGCAUUUGAUGUCCGAGUUGGACCAAUUAUAUCUCUGGCAUCAAUUUACGAUCCAGAAAAGCACACCUAUCGCAGCGUGUUGUACCGAGGACACAUAUCUGAACUCUUUGUCCCCUACAUGGAUCCAACCGAGGAAUAUUACUACAAAACAUUUUUUGAUUGCGGAGAAUUCGGGUUUGGUCAGAAUGCGGCUUCAUUGGUGCCCCUGGCCGACUGUCCAAAUAAUGCAGUAUUCAUGGACGGCUACUACGCAGCACAUGACGGUUCAGCAGUGAAAGUAGCAAAUGCUUUUUGCAUAUUUGAAAGGCACGCUGGAGAUAUCAUGUGGCGACAUACCGAGCUGGGGAUUCCAAACCGAGUGGUAAACAUUUUUGUGACGUUAUAUUUUAGAGCCAUUGAUUUCGAUUUCAUCAGCUAAUAUAUAUAUAUAUAUAUAGGAUUGAAAAAUGUGUUCGUUAUUUUCAGAUCAAUGAGGCGAGGCCUGAGGUGAGCCUAGUAGUGAGGAUGGUUGCCACGAUCGGUAACUAUGAUCAUAUAAUAGACUGGGAAUUCAAGCCAAGUGGUUCUAUCAAAGCUCAGGUAAACUGUAGACAAUGGCGUGGCUUUAUAUAUAUUAUAAUUAACCUUGAUCAUGAUCAUAUCCUCAAGUUAGUAACACGUUCUAUGCCUCAACAGGUUGGUUUAAGUGGAAUUCUUGAAGUGAAGUCAACAACAUUCACCAACGUGGAUCAGAUAAAUGAAGAAGUUUACGGUACAUUGUUGGGAGACAACACAAUCGGCUUAAACCAUGAUCAUUUCUUGACUUACCGCCUUGAUCUUGACAUUGAUGGUGCUGCCAACUCUUUUGUUAAGCAAAAUUUGGUAACCAAACAAGUGAAGGAUAAUGUCUCACCAAGGAAGAGUUAUUGGACUGUUGUUAGUGAAACAGCCAAGACUGAAUCGGAGGCGAAAAUUCGCUUAGGGACGACUCCAUCUGAGCUGGUAAUUGUGAAUCCAAAUAAGAAAACUAAACCUGGAAACCAUCAUGGCUAUCGUUUGAUACCAGGGGCAGCUACACACCCCCUUCUGCUAGAGGAUGACUAUCCACAAAUUCGUGGAGCCUUCUCGAAGUAUAAUGUGUGGGUCACCCCAUAUAACAAGUCUGAAAUAUGGGCAGGAGG
RNAcentral lists this long non-coding RNA (25585 nucleotides) under Populus tremula. RNAcentral describes it as "long non-coding RNA (PTRE_LNC000486)". Lineage: Eukaryota; Viridiplantae; Streptophyta; Magnoliopsida; Malpighiales; Salicaceae. The record is from RNAcentral.